This 497-nucleotide ribosomal RNA is filed under the name uncultured bacterium. Its description in RNAcentral is "partial 16S ribosomal RNA". It matches the Rfam family "Bacterial small subunit ribosomal RNA", at positions 28 to 507 of the family's 1533-position model. The record is from RNAcentral.
GAUGAACGCUGGCGGCGUGCCUAAUACAUGCAAGUCGAGCGAACGGACGAGAAGCUUGCUUCUCUGAUGUUAGCGGCGGACGGGUGAGUAACACGUGGAUAACCUACCUAUAAGACUGGGAUAACUUCGGGAAACCGGAGCUAAUACCGGAUAAUAUUUUGAACCGCAUGGUUCAAAAGUGAAAGACGGUCUUGCUGUCACUUAUAGAUGGAUCCGCGCUGCAUUAGCUAGUUGGUAAGGUAACGGCUUACCAAGGCAACGAUGCAUAGCCGACCUGAGAGUGUGAUAGGCCACACUGGAACUGAGACACGGUCCAGACUCCUACGGGAGGCAGCAGUAGGGAAUCUUCCGCAAUGGGCGAAAGCCUGACGGAGCAACGCCGCGUGAGUGAUGAAGGUCUUCGGAUCGUAAAACUCUGUUAUGAGGGAAGAACAUAUGUGUAAGUAACUGUGCACAUCUUGACGGUACCUAAUCAGAAAGCCACGGCUAACUACGUG